AGAGUUUGAUCAUGGCUCAGAGUGAACGCUGGCGGCGUGCUUAACACAUGCAAGUCGAACGAGAACGGUACUAGCUUGCUAGUAUGUCAGCUAAGUGGCGGACGGGUGAGUAAUGUAUAGUUAAUCUGCCCCUUGGAGAGGGAUAACAGUUGGAAACGACUGCUAAUACCUCAUAUUCCUUAUGCUGUAAGAGUAUAAGGGAAAUGGUUUAUUCUGCCAAGGGAUGAGACUAUAUGAUAUCAGUUAGUUGGUGGGGUAAUGGCCUACCAAGACUAUGACAUCUAGCUGGUCUGAGAGGAUGAUCAGCCACACUGGAACUGAGACACGGUCCAGACUCCUACGGGAGGCAGCAGUGGGGAAUAUUGCACAAUGGAGGAAACUCUGAUGCAGCAACGCCGCGUGGAGGAUGACACAUUUCGGUGCGUAAACUCCUUUUAUAUGGGAAGAUAAUGACGGUACCAUAUGAAUAAGCACCGGCUAACUCCGUGCCAGCAGCCGCGGUAAUACGGAAGGUGCAAGCGUUACUCGGAAUCACUGGGCGUAAAGCGCGCGCAGGCGGCUUGAUAAGUUGGAUGUGAAAGCCUACGGCUCAACCGUAGAACUGCAUCCAAAACUGUCAAGCUAGAGUCUGGGAGGGGAAGAUGGAAUUAGUUGUGUAGGGGUAAAAUCCGUAGAGAUAACUAGGAAUACCAAAAGCGAAGGCGAUCUUCUGGAACAGUACUGACGCUGAGGCGCGAAAGCGUGGGGAGCAAACAGGAUUAGAUACCCUGGUAGUCCACGCCCUAAACGAUGAAUGUUAGUCGUCGGAGGCCUAGUGUCUUCGGUGAUGCAGCUAACGCAUUAAACAUUCCGCCUGGGGAGUACGGUCGCAAGAUUAAAACUCAAAGGAAUAGANNGG
RNAcentral lists this ribosomal RNA (898 nucleotides) under uncultured Campylobacterota bacterium. RNAcentral's name for it is "bacterial SSU rRNA". It matches the Rfam family "Bacterial small subunit ribosomal RNA", at positions 8 to 917 of the family's 1533-position model. Lineage: Bacteria; Pseudomonadati; Campylobacterota. The record is from RNAcentral.